AGGUUGGGAGAAGAAAUUGAUUUCCCUAAGACUUCACCAGGGGUAAUUGUCAGAGCUGGAAUUUGAACAAGGCCUGUUGCAACCUGACUCCAGAGCCUAAACUCCUAACUCUUGAUGAAGAAACUGAGGUCCUGAGGAGAAAUCAGAGCUGGAAUUCAGACCCAGGUCUAUCAGACCCAAGAGAUUACUCCCCUGAACCACCUUGCCUCUAGGAAGUAACUGUCUGGUAGAUCUGGGUUGGAUCAGUCAUUUUUAUGGGCAGGACAAGGUGGAAAGCAUUCUGCAUGCAUCAUCUCACGAAGCCCUAGAGCAAUUCUAGAACAUAGUGAUUGUUACUGUCCCCAUUUUACAGGUGAGGAAACUGAGACCUGGGGAGGGGUGUACCAUUCCCAUGUUUACUGAGCUAGUGAAAGGUGGAGCCUAGAUGGGAACCCAGAGAACCUGAUUUUUGAGUCCCCAAAUCUAGCUACCUAGAUGCACAGGCAUAAGAAGGUGAAGUGAGGGACUCCAGAUUCUGGCAAGAUAGACUAGGAAGGGUUGUCAACUUGGUUCUGGGGGUUGGACUAUAAGAUUAGGAGAGUCAAAUGAGAGGAGUAGAGAAAUAACUAUUGCUUGUUGAGCAACAUCCCCACUCCAGACCCUGUGUUAACUAAGCAAUAUUUGUUGAGAAGCAGGGAGCUUUGUGGGUAAGAAACUUGACACUGGAUCCAAAUUGCCUGGAUUCCUAUCCUAGCCCUGCUACUUUCUAGUUGUGAGAACUUUAGCAAGUUACUUAACCUCUCAUGGCCUUAAUUUCUUCACCUGUAAAAUGGGGAUAAUGACAACGUUCAGGACUGCUGAGAGGAUUCAAUGAACUAAUAGAACAAUGGCAUCUCUUUUUCUCCAGUGCCCUGAAACUGAGUUGGUUUCUCCCGAUCAACCAUCACCCCUCCUUGACUUUGGCAUAAACACUGAAAAUUAAGGCCAUUAUUUGCAAUGGAAAAUUCUGGGGGAGGUGUGUUCCCAGAAGAGAUAGCAAGUGCAAAAGCCCUGAGACAGGAGUGAAUUUAGUAUGUUUGAGAUACAGCAAGAAGUCUAGUUAGAGCUAGGCAGAUGACUAAGACUCAGGAGUGCAGUUCAACUGCACAGGUGUUUGAUAAAAAACGACCCUGUACUUUCUGCUUGUUAGAGCAUAAAAGACUUUUCCCCAAGCUUUGAUCUCUGGAGAAACUCAAGGCCAUGAUUACUUUUGAGGUUUCAGGAUCCAAGGUUGCUCAGGAAUU
Long non-coding RNA from Lontra canadensis (Northern American river otter), 1262 nucleotides. RefSeq lists it as uncharacterized. The record is from RefSeq and is a predicted model, not a curated record. NCBI's taxonomy places the organism in Eukaryota, Metazoa, Chordata, Mammalia, Carnivora, Mustelidae. The transcript has 3 exons.